Molecule: unclassified non-coding RNA, 248 nt
Filed under: Hevea brasiliensis (rubber tree)
Lineage: Eukaryota; Viridiplantae; Streptophyta; Magnoliopsida; Malpighiales; Euphorbiaceae
Source: RNAcentral
CGAUUUUCUCCGUCGCCACAUGCCCUCUCCUGAACUCCUCAACGGUCCUAACGUCCAGAAGAGGAUAGCCGGAAUCGAGCAGCUUCUUGGCCGUCUCGACGUCGACGGUGACGACUCCGGCAUUGGAACUGUCGGAGGAGGCCAUGAUGAGAUUGUGAGUGGGUUUUGAGGUCGGAAAAACCAGAGGCUGCCGGAGAAAAGUUUGCGAAAGGACGGCGGUGGAAACAACAGGAGAUUUUGAGUGGCGG